UAGUGAGAUGGCACCCAGGGACAU
RNAcentral lists this unclassified non-coding RNA (24 nucleotides) under Mus musculus (house mouse). RNAcentral describes it as "oocyte_clustered_small_RNA6202". Lineage: Eukaryota; Metazoa; Chordata; Mammalia; Rodentia; Muridae. The record is from RNAcentral.